GAUGAAGAACGUAGCGAAAUGCGAUAAGUAAUGUGAAUUGCAGAAUUCAGUGAAUCAUCGAAUCUUUGAACGCACAUUGCGCCCGCCAGUAUUCUGGCGGGCAUGCCUGUCCGAGCGUCAUUUCAACCCUCGAACCCCUCCGGGGGUCCGGCGUUGGGGAUCGGGAACCCCUAAGACGGGAUCCCGGCCCCGAAAUACAGUGGCGGUCUCGCCGCAGCCUCUCAUGCGCAGUAGUUUGCACAACUCGCACCGGGAGCGCGGCGCGUCCACGUCCGUAAAACACCCAACUUCUGAAAUGUUGACCUCGGAUCAGGUAGGAAUACCCGCUGAACUUAAGCAUAUCAAUAGGGAGGA
RNAcentral lists this unclassified non-coding RNA (354 nucleotides) under soil metagenome. Its description in RNAcentral is "partial contains 5.8S ribosomal RNA, internal transcribed spacer 2, and large subunit ribosomal RNA". The stretch from base 1 to 120 matches the Rfam family "5.8S ribosomal RNA", at positions 35 to 154 of the family's 154-position model. The record is from RNAcentral.